AAUAGAUACCCCGGUAGUCCACGCCGUAAACGAUGGAUGCUAGCUGUUAUGCGUAUCGACCCGUGUAGUAGCGAAGCUAACGCGUUAAGCAUCCCGCCUGGGGAGUACGAACGCAAGUUUAAAACUCAAAGGAAUUGACGGGGACCCGCACAAGCGGUGGAGCGUGUUCUUUAAUUCGAGGCUAAGCGAAGAACCUUACCAGGGCUUGACAUCCUUGGAAUUUCUCCGAAAGGAGAGAGUACUUUAUUGGACCAAGUGACAGGUGCUGCAUGGCCGUCGUCAGCUCGUGUCGUGAGAUGUUUGGUUAAGUCCAUUAACGAGCGCAACCCUUAUGAAUAGUUGUAUUUUUCUAUUCAGACUGCCCCGGUAACGGGGAGGAAGGGGGGGAUGAUGUCAGGUCAGUAUUGCCCUUACGCCCUGGGCUAGAAACGCGCUACAAUGGCCGGUACAAUGCGCUGCCAACCCGCGAGGGGAGCAAAUCGCAUCAAAGCCGGUCCCAGUUCGGAUAAGAGGCUGAAACUCGCCUCUUUGAAGCCGGAAUCGCUAGUAAUCGU
Molecule: ribosomal RNA, 554 nt
Filed under: uncultured bacterium
Lineage: Bacteria
Description: bacterial SSU rRNA
Rfam family: Bacterial small subunit ribosomal RNA
Source: RNAcentral